RNAcentral lists this ribosomal RNA (293 nucleotides) under uncultured bacterium. RNAcentral describes it as "partial 16S ribosomal RNA". It matches the Rfam family "Bacterial small subunit ribosomal RNA", at positions 775 to 1067 of the family's 1533-position model. The record is from RNAcentral.
GGAUUAGAUACCCUGGUAGUCCACGCCGUAAACGAUGUCAACUAGCCGUUGGAAUCCUUGAGAUUUUAGUGGCGCAGCUAACGCACUAAGUUGACCGCCUGGGGAGUACGGUCGCAAGAUUAAAACUCAAAUGAAUUGACGGGGGCCCGCACAAGCGGUGGAGCAUGUGGUUUAAUUCGAUGCAACGCGAAGAACCUUACCAUCCCUUGACAUCCAGAGAAUUUUCUAGAGAUAGAUAAGUGCCUUCGGGAACUCUGAGACAGGUGCUGCAUGGCUGUCGUCAGCUCGUGCCG